GAUGAACGCUGGCGGCGUGCCUAAUACAUGCAAGUCGAGCGAAUGGAUUAAGAGCUUGCUCUUAUGAAGUUAGCGGCGGACGGGUGAGUAACACGUGGGUAACCUGCCCAUAAGACUGGGAUAACUCCGGGAAACCGGGGCUAAUACCGGAUAACAUUUUGAACCGCAUGGUUCGAAAUUGAAAGGCGGCUUCGGCUGUCACUUAUGGAUGGACCCGCGUCGCAUUAGCUAGUUGGUGAGGUAACGGCGCACCAAGGCAACGAUGCGUAGCCGACCUGAGAGUGUGAUCGGCCACACUGGGACUGAGACACGGCCCAGACUCCUACGGGAGGCAGCAGUAGGGAAUCUUCCGCAAUGGACGAAAGUCUGACGGAGCAACGCCGCGUGAGUGACGAAGGCUUUCGGGUCGUAAAACUCUGUUGUUAGGGAAGAACAAGUGCUAGUUGAAUAAGCUGGCACCUUGACGGUACCUAACCAGAAAGCCACGGCUAACUACGUGCCAGCCGCCGCGGUAA
RNAcentral lists this ribosomal RNA (515 nucleotides) under uncultured bacterium. RNAcentral's name for it is "partial 16S ribosomal RNA". It matches the Rfam family "Bacterial small subunit ribosomal RNA", at positions 28 to 523 of the family's 1533-position model. The record is from RNAcentral.